This 213-nucleotide long non-coding RNA is filed under the name Mytilus galloprovincialis (Mediterranean mussel). Lineage: Eukaryota; Metazoa; Mollusca; Bivalvia; Mytilida; Mytilidae. The record is from RNAcentral.
CGAUUUGUAUGUGGACAAGUGUUCAAGAAGUGAAAUUCAGCAUCUUAGUAAGAUUAUAAUAUGGAACUAUAUGACCCUUCUAUGAUCAAUAUAACCAGGACUAUAUUGUUCAUGUUUAUGACGAAUAAUAUUGUUUUGGUGUUACAGACUGUGAUUUUCAUCAGUCAAGUUAGUAAUAUUGUAUUGUUUUUUUUACAAAAAAUUUAGAACAAC